CACUAGAAUACUUACAUGAAAAUAUUUGUGACACCCACAACUUUCCUGGUGCUUCUUUGAUCCACUCAUAACUCAUGUAUCUUCAUGAGCUUGCAGCAGCUAGACUUCUCCUGAUAUUGACGUGGGAGGAGCUGCCGUUUAUAAUACCCAGCAUGCUUGAGGAGUAGAGGAAAGUCCUGGGAGAUAUGAACACCAUCAUUCUUUCACAGGACCUUUGCCAAUCCCUUGGCUUGCAUCAGGGGGCAAAGUCAUUAGUGGCGAAAUGAGCUCAAGUGAAGAGAACGAGAUUGCUGGGCUCCCAGCGUGGUUUGAAACUUUACCACACAGUGC
This is a long non-coding RNA of Oncorhynchus keta (chum salmon), 330 nucleotides long. RefSeq lists it as uncharacterized. The record is from RefSeq and is a predicted model, not a curated record. The transcript is spliced from 3 exons. Lineage: Eukaryota; Metazoa; Chordata; Actinopteri; Salmoniformes; Salmonidae.